Long non-coding RNA from Carcharodon carcharias (great white shark), 422 nucleotides. RefSeq lists it as uncharacterized. The record is from RefSeq and is a predicted model, not a curated record. Lineage: Eukaryota; Metazoa; Chordata; Chondrichthyes; Lamniformes; Lamnidae. The transcript is spliced from 2 exons.
CCCGGGUUUACCGAGCGAGGGUUAAAAGCCCCUUUGGCGUUAAGCGAACCCGUUGGACCAGUGAAAGGAGCUGCAAGGUUCAGUACUGUUGUAACCUGAGAGAGAGAGGGGGAUUCGUUGAGGUGUACCUUGCUGCUGGUAAUCAAAUCUGGGAAAACAAUUGCUGAAGGGAGCUGGAAUCUUCAACCUGGUGUGACAGGGAGAGUGACUGGAGAGCUGGAAGUGACUUUGGGACAGUUUCUUUAAUGCUCCAUGUCUGCCAGAAGUGUGCCAUUGAGUAAAAGCAUUUCAUAAGACAUAUUUCAGCUGUGUUCAUUAAUAAAUCCACACAUAUCUUUUUCUUUAAUUUAAUGCAUUAGUUGCCUGUUAAUUAAUGUUGAUUUUUAGCUUGUUUGUAACAGUAAAAGUCUUAAAAAGUGAAA